UGGGGAAUUUUGCACAAUGGGGGAAACCCUGAUGCAGCGACGCCGCGUGAUUUAGAAGGCCUUCGGGUUGUAAAAAUCUUUUCUAUGGGAAGAAAAUGACAGUACCAUAGGAAUAAGGACCGGCUAAUUACGUGCCAGCAGCCGCGGUAAUACGUAAGGUCCGAGCGUUGUCCGGAAUCAUUGGGCGUAAAGGGUACGUAGGCGGGUAAGCAAGUUAGAAGUGAAAUCCUGUAGCUCAACUACAGUAAGCUUUUAAAACUGCUCAUCUUGAGAUAUGGAAGGGAAAGUGGAAUUCCUAGUGUAGCGGUGAAAUGCGCAGAUAUUAGGAGGAAUACCGGUGGCGAAGGCGACUUUCUGGCCAUAAUCUGACACUGAGGUACGAAAGCGUGGGUAGCAAACAGG
RNAcentral lists this ribosomal RNA (402 nucleotides) under Bacteroidota bacterium. RNAcentral's name for it is "Bacteroidetes bacterium partial 16S ribosomal RNA". It matches the Rfam family "Bacterial small subunit ribosomal RNA", at positions 355 to 776 of the family's 1533-position model. The record is from RNAcentral. Lineage: Bacteria; Pseudomonadati; Bacteroidota.